UGGACGAAUCUCGCCCCCCGGACCCGGGAUAGCCCAGGGGAACCUGGAUUAAUACCGGAUGAGACGGGACCCGCGAUGGCGGGAUCCGGGAAAGGCGCUGCGGCGCCGCCGGGGGGAUGAGUCUGCGUCCCAUUAGCUAGACGGCGGGGUAAGGCCCACCGUGGCGACGAUGGGUAGCCGGCCUGAGAGGGUGGACGGCCACAUUGGAACUGAGACACGGUCCAGACUCCUACGGGAGGCAGCAGCUAAGAAUCUUCCGCAAUGGGCGAAAGCCUGACGGAGCGAACCGCCGCGUGAACGAAGAAGGCCGUGAGGUUGUAAAGUUCUUUUCGGGAGGGGGAACAACCGUGGCAGGGAAUGGCCGCGGGAUGACCGUGAAUCCCGGAAUAACGCCCCGGCUAACUACGUGCCAGCCGCCGC
RNAcentral lists this ribosomal RNA (420 nucleotides) under uncultured bacterium. Its description in RNAcentral is "bacterial SSU rRNA". It matches the Rfam family "Bacterial small subunit ribosomal RNA", at positions 118 to 518 of the family's 1533-position model. The record is from RNAcentral.